Molecule: long non-coding RNA, 553 nt
Organism: Drosophila mauritiana
Lineage: Eukaryota; Metazoa; Arthropoda; Insecta; Diptera; Drosophilidae
Exons: 5
Source: RefSeq, a predicted model, not a curated record
CCGCCAUCGCGAGUCGCGAAAAACUUAGCGUCCAUUGUCGAUCGAGAGUUUGGAGGGCAAACUGCGAAUAAAACGUGCGAGCUACUAUAGCCAAGUCUUUCCUUGGUAUCCAAAGGAAGUAGCCGUUGAAGGCAACUCCACUCGAGCGACUACGCUCGCACAGGAUCCGAAACAUAUUUAUAAUUUCGGUAACACUACGCUCAAAUCUCAUCGAAAGCUUUCUGCCGACGGAAUCCCUGGCUGUUUCACCAAAUUCUGUGAGGACGCCUUGUGCAAGCCUCUAGUGAAACGGUUUACCUUUUUUUGGAUUUUUACUUCCUGGAAACCUAACGGCCUGACGAACAUCAGAUACGUGAUCGGAAUUCAUGCCUUUAAUUAUGGGAUUGAAACCAGAAACGUUUUCAACCAAAAACUUUAUUUACAUUCGGCCUGAUCGACCUCGAUCUACCAUAUUAAUGCUAUGGUAUGGUUUACAACGUUUGCGGCGGAUAUAAAUGUCAAAGUACUUACUAAGUGAGUCUUUUGCUUAACGAGUACUAGUGCUCUAUGACUA